This 1047-nucleotide long non-coding RNA is filed under the name Scleropages formosus (Asian bonytongue). RNAcentral describes it as "lncRNA (ENSSFOG00015029810.1)". The record is from RNAcentral. Lineage: Eukaryota; Metazoa; Chordata; Actinopteri; Osteoglossiformes; Osteoglossidae.
CGCAUAAUGUCUCUUCCAUGGAACUUCAGCUGGAUUCGCAAUCAAAGUCACUGUACAGUGUAAUGUUACAUAUAGCACAAAAUUGCUUGUUUUCUUAUUUAUAGUAUUGUAGGAAAAAAAUAAAACCCAGUGAGGAGCACAAAGAGCAACGCAUUUCACAGUAAUUUGCUCCGAGAGAGAAAGUGCACGUGUACUUCGCGCACGCGGACAGCGCUGCUGCACAACAAAGAGGAGGUGAGAUCAGACGCCGCGUCCCGACACCGACGGGUGUCAAACAGAAGCUACGAUCUUAGCGGAAGGGCGGGAAUGCGCAUGCGCACGGCCAACGUCGUCCACCUGAACUAAAUGGGCACGAGGAAAAUGCUAUGCAAUUUUCAACGGCAUGGGGACGUCAAAAUAAACCGAGACACACCUUGAUCAUAAGUACGAGGCCGCGUGUGCCACCCUGUCCGAGGAGCUUGCGGGGCUAUCGGAGAGACUGGACGAACUGGUGCGGUACCAGGGCAGCCUUCUGACCACCAACUCUCUGCUGAUUUCUUGGAUGCAAAAUGUGGAAGAGCUGUGGAAGCACAGGAGACAGGCUCACCUCACCUUUGAUGCCUGAAUCAUGCAGGUCCAGAAUGAAGAUGAAGGGCAGGUGCUGAUGCUAUGACUUUUGCAUCUUUAAAACCCAAUGCCUACACUAACUGGGGCUGAACGCCCAGACUGCAGCCGAUCGCUGUGUGCUUGAGUUACAGCACAGCCCUUGUCUGUACACAAUAUUAUUAAUAAUACUAUAAUAAUACUGAUCACAUAGACUGUCACUCUGUUGGCCUCUGUCGCGUGUCAUACAGUCACUGGCCACCAGAUGGCGCAAAACGGUCAAUUCUGCCCCUGUAUUUUUGCAUAUCUGGUUUUAUAGCCAGAUGAACGCUGGACAGUUGUGUGUGUGUGUAUAUAAUAUAUCGUGGUUAACAAGCAUAUCGGCACAAGAUAUGCUUUGUGGGAUGUUUUGUAUUCCCCCUCCCUUUAAAUAAAAGUCAUUUUGGGCAUGAGUGUAUAGGAAAC